CUUUCGCUCUUGUUUCGAUUGCCCUCAUCCACAUCUCGAAGUUGCCACCACCAUCAUUACCACACACACACACACACACACACACACACACACACACACACAGCAAUGGGCAAGAAGGGAAAUUUAUUGGGCGACUCCGGCUCUGCGGCAACCGCAUCUCCACCGGCGAAUAUGAUUUUGUUGCCCAAAACGCCAAUAGAUACGAAAGAUUUCAUCGGCAUCUUUUCGUUUCCUUUCUGGCCAGUACGCUUCGUCGUCACGGUGGUGGCACUCUUCGUCGUAGGCGCCAGCUGCUUCCAAGCCUUCACGGUUCGCAUGACCUCCGUUCAGAUUUACGGAUACCUGAUCCACGAGUUCGACCCGUGGUUCAACUACCGCGCUGCCGAGUACAUGUCCACGCACGGCUGGUCCGCCUUCUUCAGCUGGUUCGACUACAUGAGCUGGUACCCGCUGGGCCGCCCUGUUGGCUCCACCACGUACCCGGGCCUGCAGCUCACUGCCGUCGCCAUUCACCGCGCGCUGGCGGCUGCCGGCAUGCCGAUGUCUCUCAACAACGUGUGCGUGCUGAUGCCGGCGUGGUUUGGCGCCAUCGCCACCGCUACUCUGGCUUUUUGCACGUACGAAGCCAGUGGUUCGACAGUAGCGGCGGCCGCUGCCGCACUCUCCUUCUCUAUCAUCCCGGCCCACCUGAUGCGGUCCAUGGCGGGUGAGUUCGACAACGAGUGCAUUGCCGUCGCAGCCAUGCUCCUCACCUUCUACUGCUGGGUGCGCUCGCUGCGCACGCGGUCCUCGUGGCCCAUCGGUGUCCUCACCGGUGUCGCCUACGGCUACAUGGUGGCGGCGUGGGGCGGCUACAUUUUCGUGCUCAACAUGGUUGCCAUGCAUGCCGGCAUAUCAUCGAUGGUGGACUGGGCCCGCAACACGUACAACCCGUCGCUGCUGCGUGCAUACACGCUGUUCUACGUCGUCGGCACCGCCAUCGCCGUGUGCGUGCCGCCAGUGGGGAUGUCGCCCUUCAAGUCGCUGGAGCAGCUGGGUGCACUGCUGGUGCUUGUCUUCCUGUGUGGACUGCAGGCGUGCGAGGUGUUUCGCGCACGCGCCGGUGUCGAGGUUCGCUCUCGCGCGAACUUCAAGAUCCGCGUGCGCGUCUUCAGCGUGAUGGCUGGCGUGGCUGCGCUUGCGAUCGCGGUGCUGGCACCGACGGGGUACUUCGGGCCCCUUUCGGUCCGUGUGCGUGCGCUGUUCGUGGAGCACACGCGCACUGGCAAUCCGCUGGUCGACUCGGUCGCCGAGCAUCAACCCGCUGGUCCAGAGGCGAUGUGGUCUUUUCUUCACGUGUGCGGUGUGACCUGGGGCUUGGGCUCCAUUGUGCUUGCUCUCUCGACGUUCGUGCACUACGCCCCGUCGAAGCUCUUCUGGCUACUGAACUCCGGCGCAGUGUACUACUUCAGCACCCGCAUGGCUCGGCUGCUGCUUCUCUCCGGCCCCGCUGCGUGUCUGUCCACUGGCAUUUUCGUCGGGACAAUUCUGGAAGCAGCGGUGCAACUCAGUUUUUGGGACAGUGAUGCGACAAAGGCCAGAAAGCAGCAGAAGCCGGCGCAAGGCCACCGGAGGGGGGCUGGCAAGGACAGCGACCGAGAUGACGCUGAGAGCGCGACGACCGCGCGCACACUUUGCGACGUCUUUGCCGGUAGCCCUCUGGCUUGGGGCCAUCGUAUGGUCCUGUUCAUCGCUGUGUGGGCUCUCGUCACCACAACCGCGGUGAGCUUCUUCAGUUCCGAUUUCGCGUCCCACUCAACAACGUUUGCGGAGCAGUCGUCAAAUCCGAUGAUUGUUUUUGCGGCCGUCGUGCAAAACCGUGCCACAGGCAAGCCUAUGAACAUAUUGGUGGAUGACUACCUGCGCAGCUAUAUCUGGCUGCGCGACAACACGCCAGAGGACGCGCGCAUUUUGGCCUGGUGGGACUACGGCUACCAGAUCACAGGCAUCGGCAACCGCACCUCGCUGGCCGAUGGCAACACCUGGAACCACGAGCACAUCGCCACCAUCGGCAAGAUGCUGACGUCGCCCGUGGCGGAGGCGCACUCGCUGGUGCGCCACAUGGCCGACUACGUCCUAAUCUGGGCUGGGCAGAGCGGUGACCUGAUGAAGUCACCGCACAUGGCGCGCAUCGGCAACAGUGUGUACCACGACAUCUGCCCCCACGACCCGCUGUGCCAGCAAUUUGGCUUUUACAGAAAUGAUUACAGUCGCCCAACACCGAUGAUGCGGGCGUCGCUGCUGUACAACCUGCACGAGGUCGGGAAAACAAAGGGCGUGAAGGUGGACCCGUCUCUCUUUCAGGAGGUGUACUCGUCCAAGUACGGCCUGGUGCGCGUCUUCAAGGUCAUGAACGUGAGCGAGGAGAGCAAGGAGUGGGUUGCUGACCCGGCAAACCGCGUGUGCCACCCGCCUGGGUCGUGGAUCUGCCCCGGGCAGUACCCGCCGGCGAAGGAGAUCCAGGAGAUGCUGGCACACCGCGUCCCCUUCGAUCAGGUGGAAAAAGUCGAUCGGAAAAACCAUGUCGGGUUGUAUCACGAGGAGUACAUGCGCCGGAUGCGUGAAAGCGAGAGCUGACGGUAAUGGCUGCAACACCAGCAAGAAAAAAGCAAAGGCGGUGAGUGCAGUGGUCGGUGUCGGUCGUUUGACGGACAAUUUCGGGGAAGAAGCUCGCGAGAACAGGACACCGAAUAAUGCGAAGAAAAAUGAGCCGCACCAAGGGCGUGCCGAACCUCCUCCUCAGUCAUUGGUUGUCUUGAUUUUUUCAAAAUGGAUCAAGGUUGGUGGGCAACGCGAGGCGAGAAUCGCUUCAUGAUGGCGUGGCGGUAAGGAGAAGAGAAGCACAGAGAAACAAGCGGAUGGGUGAUCGUGAUUUUUCGGCUCGUAUGUGUGUGUGUGUGUGUGUGUGUGUGUGUGUGUGUGUGUGUGUGUGUGUGCGGGAGUGCAUAGGUGUCCUC
Molecule: unclassified non-coding RNA, 2996 nt
Filed under: Leishmania donovani
Lineage: Eukaryota; Euglenozoa; Kinetoplastea; Trypanosomatida; Trypanosomatidae
Description: gene:LdHU3.35.1540(CDS-product:oligosaccharyl_tra nsferase_subunit_putative)
Source: RNAcentral